Molecule: long non-coding RNA, 746 nt
Organism: Formica exsecta
Lineage: Eukaryota; Metazoa; Arthropoda; Insecta; Hymenoptera; Formicidae
Exons: 3
Source: RefSeq, a predicted model, not a curated record
AAAUUUUUUUUUUUAUUUUAUAGAAAAAGAUUUUCUCUCUAAAAUGAAACCUAACUCAAAUUGUAGUACUGUAUCCUUAAUGGAAUAUAAAUCCAAGAAAGAAGGAAAAAAUAACUCCAGAAUAGACUAAUAGCAUCUUUGCCAUCAUUGGGUCCAGCGGAAACUCAGCCAUUCUACGUCCGAGUUUUGUUAGUUCUCCGCGAUGAUUGAGCGCCCCCAACGCAUAGAGUUGCUCCAAUGCCAAGAUCAAUGUUUCAGGUGGCGGGGGAUCCAAGAAAUCAAAAUGCAUCAGAUCAUCGAUCCCGAGAGCUUUCAGAUGCUUUCUUCAAGUUCAUGUUGGUAGGCCCAAGCUGUGUAGAGGCGGAAGCACUUGCCAGGCGCUACUCUACCAGCACGUCCCGCUCUCUAAAAUUUUAUUUUCCGUUCUCAUUGAAAUUUCAUGUAUAUAAUUGAAAAAAGAAGAAAAAAACCGUUGUAAACUUUUUUCAAGAGAAAUAUUACCUGACUCGCAGACGCUUUACUGAUCGGAACGAUUAUUAAGCUCUCCAUACCGGUGCGUGGAUUGAAAUUGUUUUGCUUUGCAUAGCCAGGAUCUAUCACAUACACUAUGUUGUCUAUGGUCAACGAAGUUUCUGCUAUAUUAGUUGCUAACACCACCUUAAAAAUAAAAGUUAAAAUUUUAUAUGUAUAUAAUUAAAAAAAAUAUUGUAUAGUUUCUCAAGAAAAAUAUAUUACCUUUCUCGCAC